Molecule: long non-coding RNA, 2504 nt
Organism: Malurus melanocephalus (red-backed fairy wren)
Lineage: Eukaryota; Metazoa; Chordata; Aves; Passeriformes; Maluridae
Exons: 3
Source: RefSeq, a predicted model, not a curated record
UAAAAUUUCUUUUCCUGAUAAUUUGGGGAGGUAGCUGUUUAUCAUAUGGAAUGAUAAACAAAAGCUGCAAAAGUCUUUUCAAAUGGGUUCGUUUGCAGCCCUGUAGAGCUGUGCUUCAUGAGUUUAUUUGCAUCGUCAGGAGAAUCUAGACUAAUUUAAUUCAUGGUAGGGAGCAUAUGUUAAUGACUUCUCUGGGUGGAGGAAGGCAGUGCACACCUCCCUCCUAACUCAGUGGUCCUGAUCUACAAGCAGGCCAAUAGAUCAAAACCACACCUCAUGGUGAGGCCCCUGUGGGAUGGAAUUCACGUUCUCCUUAGAUGCUUUUUUACAUCACAAAAACCUCUGGAAUGUUUGCUGCCUUGUCAGAGUGUCUGAAGGUUGAAUUAGGUACGGGUUGGAUGGAUCCCUGAGCAGCCUGAGMUGGUGGGUGGCAUGGGGGCAUGGAACUGGAUAAUCCUGAAGGUCCCUUYUAACCCAAACCAUUCUGUGAUUYUGUGAUCUCCCUGCCCAGCAGAACGAGUGGGAGAGGAAGGGAGGGAGCUCUGUUGUGAGCUGAAACAGCAUUUCUGCUUUGCCAGCUUCCUCACUUGCAGGCUUGCUCUGACUUAACAACUCUGMGGCCUUCACAGGCUUGAAAAACUGUAUAAAGGAACCAAAAGAAAAGGUAUUUCAAGGAAUGAAAUUARGAAUUCCCAGAUCGAAGAUGCAAAUUCUGGCAACGAGAAAUAGCUUGACAUGGAUAUUAUGAGAUUACCGAGACCUCGUGGUAGUAGUAAUAACAAUAAUCAUCUGUUAUUUGAAGAGCUGCUGAAACGCAUGGAAAUUUUAAAAUAUUAUUCUUAGAAAUCCUUCCUCCUAAAUGCUUUGUCUUUCCUGAAAAAUGACAGAAAAGUAGAUGGAUAGCACUUUGCCCAAACAAAUUUUCAUUUUAUGCUUAAAUACAGCCUUAGAUGCCCAGCUUCAAGAACUUGAGUUUGAAAAUACAGUUAUGGGCCAGAAAUAUAACCUGUGCCAUAAUUUGACAACAAAAUUAUUUUUACUUCAACUAUCCUAUAAGAUAGGAACAAAGAAUUAGAUCUCACAUUAUACACCUGAUAAUUCUGAAUAAUGAAUACAUUCACAAAAAAAAGAGAAGCAUAUAGGGUAAAUUUGCAAUUUGGGAAGUGCGACUUACUAUACAAAUGAUUUAUUACARAAUAGGCUGUAGUGAAAAUUUUAUGGCCGAAGCGAUGUUUUGGAUAAUAAAUUAUAUAUUACAGACAAUAAAAAGUGGACAGAUUCCCCACCACUGUCAAUGACAGCACCUGGCAGUACUGGGCACAUGGGCUUUGGAGAUUUAUCUCUAAGCAUGGAAUGGAAUUUCCAGAUGGUGGGAAUUACCGGGGCAGAACAGAGUUCUAGGUUGUCAUUUUAAUAAAGUUUUCCAGAGAGCRUAAGAGUUCCACGUAUCCACACUCAUGAUCUGCGCUUUUACAUCYGCUCUUGGCUGCCACUGGGUGCUCAGCAUCUAAAAAGGGAUGGCGAAAUAAAUCACACAGAUCUCUAUGCAAGUCUCAUCAGGCUCUGAAAGGUGAGAGGAUCUACUCCCGUUCUCCCCUCUGCAACUGGGGCAAGAAAAUCUCAYGAGAUGGGACCUAAACUGCAGAACGAGCACUUAAGGAAAGGCUGGGAUCUGCGUGCCACACCUCUGCCCUCUCUUGUAUACAGUGUUAUUGUAAAUCACAAUGUCUCCGUCCAGAGAAAACAUAUUUUGCACCUCAUCUGGUCUAAAUAUUGAGUUUACGAGUGAAUGUUGCUUUGCAUUAUGUGUUAUAGAUGCUUUAUGUUUAUUUAAGAACUCAGUUUGCAGGAAUGUUUUCCAGACAUGCGGUUUACCGCAAUAGACAGUUGUUGAUAUUCUGAUCCCAAGAGCAUUAGAAUAUGUUUAGGAAUUGCGACACUUUUAAAACCAGAUGUUCUACAUAAGCUGCACAAAAAAAAUGGGGGUGGGGGAACAAAUAGAACUGUCAUUUGGCAUGAAAACAGCCUGUGUUAAAGCAAGGGCAAACACAUACCAAGUGAAAUAAACGUGGUGAACUGCCCUCAACCCUUUCCUCCUUUUGUGAGCAACUAUUUUAACAAAAGAUGGAAAAAUCCCAUCUUCCAGAUGGUGUGGGAAGGGGAAAAGAAGGUUUUCAGAUCCAGGUUUGCAUCUGAAGGAAGCUGCUGGAUCUCGUUUCCUGGGAUGGAUCAAACCAGAAUGACAGAGCUAGGCAACUUCAGGCAAGGAAAGAAUGCAAAUCUGGAUUCAACGCCCUGUCCAGAAAAUKAUUUUCUGUGUGUUUCUAAAGGUAAAAGAGGAAACAAAGAUUUGCCCUUCAUGGUGAAUUGCUACAGAAAGUCUCCUCCAGCUGCCAGAGACUGGUGGAACAUCCCAGCCUGUCCUCCWGUAUGAUCUGACAGAUAUUUGUGUAAGCAGGUGGGGGAUCAUCCUGCACCAGGCACUGUCUCAGGGGCUGAAGGAU